AUUGAACGCUGGCGGCAGGCCUAACACAUGCAAGUCGAGCGGAUGAAGGGAGCUUGCUCCUGGAUUCAGCGGCGGACGGGUGAGUAAUGCCUAGGAAUCUGCCUGGUAUUGGGGGAUAACGUCCGGAAACGGGCGCUAAUACCGCAUACGUCCUGAGGUAGAAAGUGGGGGAUCUUCGGACCUCACGCUAUCAGAUGAGCCUAGGUCGGAUUAGCUAGUUGGUGGGGUAAAGGCCUACCAAGGCGACGAUCCGUAACUGGUCUGAGAGGAUGAUCAGUCACACUGGAACUGAGACACGGUCCAGACUCCUACGGGAGGCAGCAGUGGGGAAUAUUGGACAAUGGGCGAAAGCCUGAUCCAGCCAUGCCGCGUGUGUGAAGAAGGUCUUCGGAUUGUAAAGCACUUUAAGUUGGGAGGAAGGGCAGUAAGUUAAUACCUUGCUGUUUUGACGUUACCAAAAGAAUAAGCACCGGCUAACUUCGUG
Molecule: ribosomal RNA, 484 nt
Filed under: uncultured bacterium
Lineage: Bacteria
Description: partial 16S ribosomal RNA
Rfam family: Bacterial small subunit ribosomal RNA
Source: RNAcentral